CUUUUCCAUUCAGCAUUUUCUGUCUGCUAUACUUACACUGAUAUAUUUACACCUCUACGUCUACCUUGCAGACAUAAAAGAGUGCACGGUAUCUAUCUCCAUUGGCAGUACUGAAGUGCUUUAUUGGACCUUUAUGUAUUAACAUUACUGUAUGAACAUUGUAAAUAUUAGUGAAAUCUUGUAUGACUUCAUCCUUAGGUACCAAGUGUUAUGUACCUGUGACAUUUAGAGCUGCUUCUAAACGUAUACAAAAUGGCUGAUGUAAUAACUAACAUGUUGUACAUUAAACUGCAAUUAUACGUUGUUGUUAGUCUCUAAUAAAUUAUUAAAAUAAUUAAGGAAGGAGUGCUAGAUCCCUGGAUGGGAGUGUGAGUAUUAUGAUGUGUGUUACACUAAUAUCUGUGACUCUAACCUUGAGAUCUUCAUCCUGAAAUUUG
This is a long non-coding RNA of Nanorana parkeri, 437 nucleotides long. RefSeq lists it as uncharacterized. NCBI's taxonomy places the organism in Eukaryota, Metazoa, Chordata, Amphibia, Anura, Dicroglossidae. The record is from RefSeq and is a predicted model, not a curated record. The transcript is spliced from 3 exons.